Molecule: long non-coding RNA, 292 nt
Organism: Homo sapiens (human)
Lineage: Eukaryota; Metazoa; Chordata; Mammalia; Primates; Hominidae
Exons: 3
Source: RefSeq, a predicted model, not a curated record
ACAACUCAUGCCUCUUGUCCUGGCCUGUUCCUCCAGUCUCUACAGCUGUCACUGAAGUUCAAUCUCCAUUAACAAGUUGUGUUUGUGCUCCCAUGCUCCUGUAUUUAUAAUCAUCUGGCAGAGGCAUAAUAGAUCAGAGGUUAAGAAGCACAGCCUUUGGCAUUAGAAAAACCAAGAUUCAAGGUUCAAUCCUGCUACAUAAAAGCUGUGUAACUUCAGCUCCUGCCCAAGGCCUUGUUACCUCAUGCCUGAGUUAUCUUCAUUCUAUAUCAACUCUAAGAACCCCUGACCA